GAUGAACGCUGGCUACAGGCUUAACACAUGCAAGUCGAGGGGAAACGACGGGGAAGCUUGCUUCCCCGGGCGUCGACCGGCGCACGGGUGAGUAACGCGUAUCCAACCUGCCUCUGACUGAGGGAUAACCCGUCGAAAGUCGGCCUAAUGCCUCAUGGCAUCGUCUGCGGGCAUCCAACGACGAUUAAAGAUUUCAUCGGUCAGAGAUGGGGAUGCGUCUGAUUAGCUUGUUGGCGGGGUAACGGCCCACCAAGGCGACGAUCAGUAGGGGUUCUGAGAGGAAGGUCCCCCACAUUGGAACUGAGACACGGUCCAAACUCCUACGGGAGGCAGCAGUGAGGAAUAUUGAUCAAUGGGCGAGAGCCUGAACCAGCCAAGUAGCGUGCAGGAUGACGGCCCUAUGGGUUGUAAACUGCUUUUAUGCGGGGAUAAAGUGAGGGACGUGUCCUUCAUUGCAGGUACCGCAUGAAUAAGGACCGGCUAAUUCCGUG
This 491-nucleotide ribosomal RNA is filed under the name uncultured bacterium. RNAcentral's name for it is "partial 16S ribosomal RNA". It matches the Rfam family "Bacterial small subunit ribosomal RNA", at positions 28 to 507 of the family's 1533-position model. The record is from RNAcentral.